Xiphias gladius (swordfish) is the source of this 1258-nucleotide long non-coding RNA. RefSeq lists it as uncharacterized. The transcript has 3 exons. NCBI's taxonomy places the organism in Eukaryota, Metazoa, Chordata, Actinopteri, Istiophoriformes, Xiphiidae. The record is from RefSeq and is a predicted model, not a curated record.
CUGUAACAGUGCAUCAUAUUCUAGAAGCCGAUGGUGUGUUUUCUAUGUAAAAUCUUCAUCUGCAAAGUAAAGUAACCAUUGCUAUCAGAUGUAUUUAUCUGAGUUGAACGUAAAACAUUUCCCUUUGAAAUGAAGUAGUGGAGUAGAAAUAUAUAGUAAAAUACAUGUACCUCAAAAUUCAACUCAUGUAGAAUAAAUGUACUUAGUAAAUUUCCACCAUGGGCAUCGGCGCGCCGCUUUACAGCUCUGUCCAGCUUUCACUUCAUUGUCUUGCUUUGCUGGUGUUUUUUAAUUUUUUGCUUCUCUCGGGGCGACCUACUGUCACCCACCUACUGCCCUCUGUGAAAUGUGUACAGUUUGUACCCUGUCGCCUCCAAGUUCCCAUUAAGUUCACUGCAAAAAGUAUUUCUGUGUUGGAAUAAUAGUUCUCUACAAAACGUGUCCACAAAAUUCUCUAACAAAUACUCAGCUAAUUACUAAAAAACACUUACUGUGCAGUUAAUCAGAGGUUUGUGGGGCCCUGAGGGGGUCUGGGGCCCAUUUGCCGAUUUUAACCCAUAUAAAGGAGUGCAGUACAAAGAAUGCAUUUCAUUUUUUCCCCAUUUGACAUAAUAAAACCUAAUUUAAAGCAGCUUUAUAACAGUGGUGGGGGAUUUCGACUGAAGCCAGAGGCAACCUGCCACUGCCACUACUGCCACCUCCACACAACCCUCCAUGUCAUCACAACCUUUAGCCUCUCUGCGAGCUGCCACCUCCUCACAACUCUCCACGUCCUCGCAGCUAUUCUCAGAGCCUAUAUCCUCCCUGCGCUCACUAUGACAGGCAACGGCUAGUCUCAGCAAACCCUAGACAGGUCUGUCAGGAGGCUGUUUUUGCCACAAAAGUUUCAGCCAUCUGUUCCUCUUCUUUCCCCUGCUGGAUCCACCACAGCACUUUUGUUGGACACAGUGGGGAUGGAAGCCACUGACAGCAAGCUUUUGCUGGCCGCUCAACAGCUGGAGUCAGAAAUAGCAUCAGAGGGUCACGCAGGUGGUUGGUGUCAGCAGCUCUUACUACUUGGCAUCCGAAUAUCUUGUGUCUAAGAGCUGCAAAAGAAAGGUCAUCAGUUGGAGCCAAACAUCCUCCACAAGCUAGACAGUGGCUACCUCAUCCAGUUCCCAUGUUUGCUGACGCACAGGCUGGGGUGCGUCAUGCAGGUUGUGUGCCUAUGUGUCAGCGAGACUUGGGAAACAGCAGUAGCCAGCAUCAAAAGCUGUUG